CCUCCUUAUACGAUUUAGAACUUAUUUGUUCGUAGUGUCCACACAGAUGAUUGUUAGUUAGUUUGCUCUUUGAGUUUACUAAUUAAUAUGCUCUUUAAAAAUUUGGAAAAGCUGAUAAUAAAAUUCGUAUGAAUGACAUUUGUUAUUUGUACAGAGUUUUCAAAAGUAAAAAAGAAUGAUAGCAGUAUCAUUCAGUGCCAAUUUAAUCUUCGGAUUAAUUGGUAUCUACUUUAGUAUUCAAUAUUAACUUCUGGCGAAGUUAAACUGUCACGAAACAAAGACCCGUUUGGGUUGUAUGGUUAAGUGACUAAGCGUACACGGUGGAUGC
Molecule: unclassified non-coding RNA, 328 nt
Filed under: uncultured Pseudoalteromonas sp.
Lineage: Bacteria; Pseudomonadati; Pseudomonadota; Gammaproteobacteria; Alteromonadales; Pseudoalteromonadaceae
Description: partial 16S-23S ribosomal RNA intergenic spacer
Source: RNAcentral